Small nuclear RNA from Aotus nancymaae (Ma's night monkey), 141 nucleotides. Its record names the gene U4. It matches the Rfam family "U4 spliceosomal RNA". From Rfam's summary of the family: U4 small nuclear RNA (U4 snRNA) is a component of the major U2-dependent spliceosome. The record is from Ensembl. Lineage: Eukaryota; Metazoa; Chordata; Mammalia; Primates; Aotidae.
AGCUUUGCGCAGUGGCUGUAUCGUAGCCAAUGAGGUUUAUCCAAGGUGUGAUUAUUGCUAAUUGAAAACUUUUCCCAAUACCCCGCUGUGACGACUUGCAAUAUAGUCAGCAUUGGCAAUUUUUGACAGUCUCUGUGGAGA